This is a non-coding RNA of Vicugna pacos (alpaca), 85 nucleotides long. The record is from RefSeq and is a predicted model, not a curated record. Lineage: Eukaryota; Metazoa; Chordata; Mammalia; Artiodactyla; Camelidae.
CAGACGUGUGCUGUUCUGAUCUCAGUCCAGCAAGCAAAAGCAAUUAAAUACAAUUAAAACUGUACUGGUAACUCUGGGAAUAAGG